RNAcentral lists this ribosomal RNA (256 nucleotides) under uncultured bacterium. RNAcentral's name for it is "partial 16S ribosomal RNA". It matches the Rfam family "Bacterial small subunit ribosomal RNA", at positions 524 to 776 of the family's 1533-position model. The record is from RNAcentral.
UACGUAGGGUGCGAGCGUUGUCCGGAAUUAUUGGGCGUAAAGAGCUCGUAGGCGGUUUGUCGCGUCUGCUGUGAAAACCUAAGGCUCAACCUUGGGCUUGCAGUGGGUACGGGCAGACUAGAGUGCGGUAGGGGUGACUGGAAUUCCUGGUGUAGCGGUGGAAUGCGCAGAUAUCAGGAGGAACACCGAUGGCGAAGGCAGGUCACUGGGCCGCAACUGACGCUGGAGGAGCGGAAAAGCAUGGGGAGCGAACAGG